UAUAUAUAUAUAUAUAGUGAGGCUGCUAUGCUUCUGGAAGCACGGAGCCUUCCGUUCUACGAGGUCGUUUUCAAUGUUGCGACUUUCGAAUCGUUGAUCGGCUCCGUUAAACUUAAUAUAGAGUAUUUGAAGUACCUAGAAAAUAAAUUUUGCAAUUUUUCGAUAUCAUUUGCCUAGUGAUCGUAGGGACUCAAAAUCAAUAAUUUUAAUGGCUAUGGUGAGCCGUUUGCAAGUUUAACGGUGUAGAAAUAUCCAAAUCACAUAAAAUUUUGAUAGAAAAUUCUUUAUACUAUAUAAAACAAGAUCAAUAUAUUUGAUCUAAAAUUUUAAUAUCAUAUUAUCACGUUUUGUAAGAUUUUAAUUUUCAGCCGUUGAUUUUGAGCCUCUUAGUUCAUUAGGCAAAUGAAAUCGAAAAAUUGUAAAAUUUAUUUUCUAGGUAUUUCAAAUACUCUAAAUCAAAUUUAACAGAGCCGAUCGACGAUUCAAAAAUCGCAACAUCCAAAACGACCUGAAAGCAUGAAAGACUUCGUACUUUCAGAAGCAUAAUAACCUCACUAUAUAUAUAUAUAUAUAUAUAUAUAUAUAUAUAUAUAGUUGGUAUACUGUGGGGACUAGUGCCCUCUCCAAAUGUCACUAGUGGGGACUCCAAUGCUAUUGCAUUCUAUUAUAAUAUUUCUAUCAUUUUCGCUAACAGACGUGUACGUGCCAGCAUUUUGCCCUGCUGCUGCUGCUGCUGCUGCCGCUGCUGCUGCUGCUGCUGCUGCUUCUUCUUCUUCUUUUGAAAGAUAGAAAGGUAGUAUACUAUUCAUUUUAUUUAUUUUUAUUUUAAAAAAAAUUCAGCAAAAAAUAUAAAUUAAUUAUGAUUCGAACUUGAUAUCUCGGGUAUUAACCAGCAACUAGUAAGUCGUUUACCACUUGUGCUAGCUAGGGACGGUCGACGUUAGGGAAAUAUGAAUCAACUAGCAUUCUGCACUGUUACGAAAGGCUACGUUAGGCCUAGUCACAUUUGGAAUGGCGUAAGGCUAAGUUGGACUGAGUCAUGUUCGAAGUAGUGUGAGGCUGGUCGGAUCGAAUCAUAAUCGAGAUCCGUGGAUGCUGUGUCUAUAUGUUUUAAGUGAAUAAAUUGUAUUUUUCUAAUAGCUUGAACUUUAGAUAUUAAUAGUUAGCGCCAAUGUUCUGACUGUAGUGAGUUCCUAAUAAGUAGUAUAUCCAAUUAAUUGGAAUAAAUUAGAUUCUAGAAAACCAAAGAUCGUUUCAAUUUUCUAGGUGCUAUAUCCAACAGAUAUCAUAUUGACCACUAUUAACGAUCAACUGGAAUCAAUCAAUAUCUUCGUAUCAUAUAUAUAUAUAUAUAGAGAGAGAGAGAGUGAGUUUUGCUAGAAUACUAUCAAUAGUAAAUGAGUUGUUUUACUAUCUAUUUGUUUUCGCUGAUAGAGCUUCCAAAUUGACGAUCGGCUCCGUUGAACAUGAUCUAUACCACUUGAAGUGUUUAGAAAUCAAAUUUUAAAUCUUUUCGACAUCAUUUGCCUAAUGAUCAAAGGGUUUCAAAAUUUGUAAUUUUAAUGGUCGAUAAGA
This 1575-nucleotide long non-coding RNA is filed under the name Ananas comosus (pineapple). RNAcentral's name for it is "long non-coding RNA (ACOM_LNC037326)". The record is from RNAcentral. Lineage: Eukaryota; Viridiplantae; Streptophyta; Magnoliopsida; Poales; Bromeliaceae.